This 480-nucleotide ribosomal RNA is filed under the name uncultured bacterium. RNAcentral's name for it is "partial 16S ribosomal RNA". It matches the Rfam family "Bacterial small subunit ribosomal RNA", at positions 28 to 507 of the family's 1533-position model. The record is from RNAcentral.
GACGAACGCUGGCGGCGCGCUUAACACAUGCAAGUCGAGCGAUGAAAUCUUGACAGAUCCCUUCGGGUUGUAGCUAAGAUGGAUUAGCGGCGGACGGGUUAGUAACACGUGAGUAACCUGCCUUCUACGUUGGGAUAGCCUCGGUACACCGGGAUUACUUCCACAUGAAAUCAUAGGUGCCCAUGCACUAAUUAUCAAGACUCCGGUGUUCUAAGAUGGACUCGCGUCCCAUUAGCUAGUUGGCGAGGUAAUGGCCCACCAAGGCGACGAUGGGUAGCCGGGCUGAGAGGGUGAACGGACACAGUGGAAGGGAGAAGCAGUCGAAACUCCUACGGGAGGCAGCAGUGGGGAAUAGUGCACAAUGGAGGGAACUCUGAUGGAGCGACGCUGCGUGAACGAUGAAAGCUGUCGAGUCGUAAAGUUCUUUUAUAUGGGAAGAUAAUGACGGUACCAUAAGAAAAAGCCACGGCUAACUACGUG